UCGAGCGCGCCCUUCGGGGUGAGCGGCGGACGGGUUAGUAACGCGUGGGAACGUGCCCAGAUCUAAGGAAUAGCCACUGGAAACGGUGAGUAAUACCUUAUACGCCCUUCGGGGGAAAGAUUUAUCGGAUUUGGAUCGGCCCGCGUUAGAUUAGAUAGUUGGUGGGGUAACGGCCUACCAAGUCUACGAUCUAUAGCUGGUUUUAGAGGAUGAUCAGCAACACUGGGACUGAGACACGGCCCAGACUCCUACGGGAGGCAGCAGUGGGGAAUCUUGGACAAUGGGGGCAACCCUGAUCCAGCCAUGCCGCGUGAGUGAUGAAGGCCUUAGGGUCGUAAAGCUCUUUCGCCAGAGAUGAUAAUGACAGUAUCUGGUAAAGAAACCCCGGCUAACUCCGUGCCAGCAGCCGCGGUAAUACGGAGGGGGUUAGCGUUGUUCGGAAUUACUGGGCGUAAAGCGCGCGUAGGCGGACCAGAAAGUUGGGGGUGAAAUCCCGGGGCUCAACCCCGGAACUGCCUCCAAAACUCCUGGUCUAGAGUUCGAGAGAGGUGAGUGGAAUUCCGAGUGUAGAGGUGAAAUUCGUAGAUAUUCGGAGGAACACCAGUGGCGAAGGCGGCUCACUGGCUCGAUACUGACGCUGAGGUGCGAAAGUGUGGGGAGCAAACAGGAUUAGAUACCCUGGUAGUCCACACCGUAAACGAUGAAUGCCAGUCGUCGGGUAGCAUGCUAUUCGGUGACACACCUAACGGAUUAAGCAUUCCGCCUGGGGAGUACGGUCGCA
This 781-nucleotide ribosomal RNA is filed under the name Roseobacter sp. RED85. RNAcentral's name for it is "bacterial SSU rRNA". It matches the Rfam family "Bacterial small subunit ribosomal RNA", at positions 62 to 890 of the family's 1533-position model. Lineage: Bacteria; Pseudomonadati; Pseudomonadota; Alphaproteobacteria; Rhodobacterales; Roseobacteraceae. The record is from RNAcentral.